Molecule: ribosomal RNA, 497 nt
Filed under: uncultured bacterium
Lineage: Bacteria
Description: partial 16S ribosomal RNA
Rfam family: Bacterial small subunit ribosomal RNA
Source: RNAcentral
GAUGAACGCUGGCGGCGUGCCUAAUACAUGCAAGUCGAGCGAACGGACGAGAAGCUUGCUUCUCUGAUGUUAGCGGCGGACGGGUGAGUAACACGUGGAUAACCUACCUAUAAGACUGGGAUGACUUCGGGAAACCGUAGCUAAUACCGGAUAAUAUUUUGAACCGCAUGGUUCAAAAGUGAAAGACGGUCUUGCUGUCACUUAUAGAUGGAUCCGCGCUGCAUUAGCUAGUUGGUAAGGUAACGGCUUACCAAGGCAACGAUGCAUAGCCGACCUGAGAGGGUGAUCGGCCACACUGGAACUGAGACACGGUCCAGACUCCUACGGGAGGCAGCAGUAGGGAAUCUUCCGCAAUGGGCGAAAGCCUGACGGAGCAACGCCGCGUGAGUGAUGAGGGUCUUCGGAUCGUAAAACUCUGUUAUUAGGGAAGAACAUAUGUGUAAGUAACUGUGCACAUCUUGACGGUACCUAAUCAGAAAGCCACGGCUAACUACGUG